Molecule: transfer RNA, 73 nt
Filed under: Pseudomonadota bacterium
Lineage: Bacteria; Pseudomonadati; Pseudomonadota
Also listed under: 2 other names
Description: tRNA-Lys
Rfam family: tRNA
About the family: Transfer RNA (tRNA) molecules are approximately 80 nucleotides in length.
Source: RNAcentral
GCCCCCGUAGCUCAAUUGGUAGAGCAACGGCCUUUUAAGCCGGUGGCUGCAGGUUCGAGUCCUGCCGGGGGCA